This 2136-nucleotide long non-coding RNA is filed under the name Heterocephalus glaber (naked mole-rat). Its description in RNAcentral is "lncRNA (ENSHGLG00100042403.1)". The record is from RNAcentral. Lineage: Eukaryota; Metazoa; Chordata; Mammalia; Rodentia; Bathyergidae.
GAUACUGUAUUAAAUUUGAUAAAAUUAUUUUUGUAUUUAAUAUUAUAAAAAAUUAAUGAAAAAAUGCAAUAUUUGGCCAUCCUGUAUUUAUAUAAUUGGACUGGUAAGUGCUUAAUGUAUAGUCUUAGCACCAGGAUAGUCUGAGACAGGAUUAUCAUGGCUUUAAAGCUAACUUUGGGGGCCACUUAGCUAGGUGCCUUAGCAAACUAUGAAACAGUUGUCUUUAUCUGCAUUUGAAGUUUAAGGAAAGAAAUUUAGUGAAGAACAUAAACCUAGGGUAAGGUGAGAAAAAAAAAAUCAUGUUUUCAAAUCAUCAUUUUGUUUCUCGGGAAAUGUUCUUUUCAUGAAAAUAUUUGUAUAGCAUAUAUUCCUGCCUUUGAGUAAAGUAUAAGCAAUAAAAGAUGAAUGAGCCAGGCAGUACACAUUCUGAAUGUAGAGACAUAAAAACAAAGUAUUCUCAAUGCUAUUGCUGGUGUUUUUGGUAUAAAAUAAGGUAGGAUAACACAACAAACAUAAAAAAUUUUAUAAAAUUUGAAAACUUCUGCACAGACAUGGAUGCAAAAAAAAGCAUGAAAAAUAAUCCACAAUGAGUAUUUUGCCUGAUAUUCCUCAGAGAACUAAUAUCUGAAAAAAAUAGGCAAGUUAAAUGAAUAACACUUCUCAGACUACGUACAAAUUGCUAAUAAAUACCUGAAAAAAAGUUGAGCAUUUCUGUCCAAUAGAGAAAGGCCAGUUGGAACAUAAACUCAUUCCAGAAAGAUCACAUCACCAAAAACGAAAAAAUGUUUCAUGAGGCUGCAGGGGAAAAGGAAACAUUCAACAUUGGUGGGAUAAAUAGUUCAGCUACUACAGAAGUCAGUGUAUAGAGUAUUCAGAAAACUAAAAGUAAUGCAUUCAGUGUAGUGCUUCCUUUUGUGAAUGUCUUCCCCAAAGAAUUAAAGACAUCAUGUUUCAGUGAUCCAUGCAUAUUCCUGUUUACAGCAGCAAUACUCUUUUUCUAUUGGACAGCAGGGGUGAGUCCUGCUCUGUCAGCCACCAGAUACCAAGGAUAAACAACAAGUACCCCUCAGUGUACUCUGCUAAAAAUUAUAUGUGAUAUUUUAUUAUGAAAUGAGCUGUAUAUUAGAAUAUUCUUCCUGACUACAGGUCAAUAUAAGCAUGAUAAGCAUGUUAAUGUUGCAAGGGGAUCACUUACAUUCAUUAGAUUUGGUAUAUUAAAUGCAUAUUCAGUACAUUUUUCAGCUUUUGUGUUGAUCAAAUAUUUCCACUUUGUACCUCAAGGAACUGUAACCACUUCAAGUUUAUUGAGGUGGAGAUGUGCAUAACACCAAGUUCAUUAUAUUCUCUCCUGGUUCAUUGUUGUUCGUGUACUGCAAUGAAACAUAUGUAUACAUGUGUAUAUAAGAAUUUCUUUUUUUACUUUCCUUAUAACAGAUUAAAAACUUUUUUAAGAUUCUUAAAAUUUCUUUGUAUAAUUGGAGGCUGAAUACUCAUAUAACUCCCCAGGGUUAAACCUGGGGAAACACUGCUCAAAUGAAGCUGGAAGCUUAAGAAGAAGAACCAACCACAAUCAACCACAGCCCAAGAGGGAAGACUUUGAAGCCCCAUAAAGACCACCUAAUGAAGGUCCAUGUUCAAAAACUGAACACUAAUGACUACACCAAACAUCACACCUGUUUAAGAUAAUUCAAAUGAAUCACAUCUUCAAGAUGAAGGCAAACUGGAGGCUACAGCGAAAGAGGAAUCAAUCUCCUUUGGAGCUUUCUCAGCAGCAGUCUUCCCAUAGGUGGCCUCCAGCUGGAGAGAACACCAACAGAGUGAGUGUGAACAGUGCAAAGCUGGAGAGUGCUGAAGGCUAGAGACUCAUAUGCAGAAGCCAUGCAGAAGGCAGAAGCCACAGCCAUUGAGUGCCUAACUCCUUUCUGAGGAUCUGGUUCACCAUGGCACACCAUUUCUGCAGUCAAUCUUGCCCUCUACAUUGGGAACAUGUUUAACUGUCUGAAUGUGGAUGUUUCUUUUGAUCUUGGAUGAAGCAGUUGCUACUGCAGGAUACAUGGCCAAGGACUACAUUUUGGAGUUCCAAGUUUUGCUCUGGACUGGAAAAAAAUAGAAAGCAAAAUAUAUACUUUUGUUAUA